RNAcentral lists this ribosomal RNA (245 nucleotides) under uncultured bacterium. Its description in RNAcentral is "partial 16S ribosomal RNA". It matches the Rfam family "Bacterial small subunit ribosomal RNA", at positions 527 to 771 of the family's 1533-position model. The record is from RNAcentral.
GUAGGUGGCAAGCGUUGUUCGGAUUUACUGGGUGUAAAGGGAGCGCAGGCGGUGCGGCAAGUCUGAUGUGAAAGCCCGGGGCUCAACCCCGGGACUGCAUUGGAAACUACCGAACUAGAGUGUCGGAGAGGUAAGUGGAAUUCCUAGUGUAGCGGUGAAAUGCGUAGAUAUUAGGAGGAACACCAGUGGCGAAGGCGGCUUACUGGACGAUAACUGACGCUGAGGCUCGAAAGCGUGGGGAGCAA